UACGGGGGUGGCGAGCGUUACUCGGAUUUAUUGGGUGUAAAGGACAGGUAGGCGUUCCACCAAGUUAGAAGUGAAAUCCUAAGGCUUAACCUUAGAACUGCUUCUAAAACUGGCGGAAUUGAGUCUGGGAGAGGAAAGCGGAAUUCCCGGUGUAAGGGUGAAAUCUGUAGAUAUCGGGAGGAACACCAGUGGCGAAAGCGGCUUUCUAGCCUAGAUCUGACGCUGAACUGUGAAAGCUCGGGGAG
Molecule: ribosomal RNA, 245 nt
Filed under: uncultured bacterium
Lineage: Bacteria
Description: partial 16S ribosomal RNA
Rfam family: Bacterial small subunit ribosomal RNA
Source: RNAcentral